This 361-nucleotide ribosomal RNA is filed under the name Podosphaera xanthii. RNAcentral's name for it is "partial large subunit ribosomal RNA". It matches the Rfam family "Eukaryotic large subunit ribosomal RNA", at positions 82 to 442 of the family's 3401-position model. Lineage: Eukaryota; Fungi; Ascomycota; Leotiomycetes; Helotiales; Erysiphaceae. The record is from RNAcentral.
AGUAACGGCGAGUGAAGCGGCAACAGCUCAAAUUUGAAAUCUGGCUCCUUCGGGCCCCAAUUUGUAUUUUGAAAAGAUGGCUUGGGUCUGGGCCUGGCCUAAGUUUCUUGGAACCAGGCCUCCAUAAGGGGGGAAAUCCCCGUUGGCGGUGGCGCCCGUGCCCGUGUAAAGCUCCCUUCACCAAUCCAGUUUGUUGGGAAUGGCACUUCUAAUGGGUGGGUAAUUUUCUCCUAAGCUUAAUUUUGGCCCAAAACCCGUUGCCGCCCAGUUAAAUGGACCAAAAAAGAAAAACACUUUUGAAAAGAAAUUAAACAAUACGUGAAAUUGGUGAAAGGAAGCGCUGGGCACCAGACUUGCUCGC